AGAGUUUGAUCCUGGCUCAGAUUGAACGCUGGCGGAACGCUUUACACAUGCAAGUCGAACGGUAACGCGGGAAGCUUGCUUCUCUGGCGACGAGUGGCGAACGGGUGAGUAAUACAUCGGAACGUGUCCGCUCGUGGGGGACAACCAGCCGAAAGGUUGGCUAAUACCGCAUGAGUUCUACGGAAGAAAGAGGGGGACCCGCAAGGGCCUCUCGCGAGCGGAGCGGCCGAUGACUGAUUAGCCGGUUGGUGAGGUAACGGCUCACCAAAGCAACGAUCAGUAGCUGGUCUGAGAGGACGACCAGCCACACUGGGACUGAGACACGGCCCAGACUCCUACGGGAGGCAGCAGUGGGGAAUUUUGGACAAUGGGCGCAAGCCUGAUCCAGCUAUUCCGCGUGUGGGAUGAAGGCCCUCGGGUUGUAAACCACUUUUGUAGAGAACGAAAAGACACCUUCGAAUAAAGGGUGUUGCUGACGGUACCUGAAGAAUAAGCACCGGCUAACUACGUGCCAGCAGCCGCGGUAAUACGUAGGGUGCGAGCGUUAAUCGGAAUUACUGGGCGUAAAGGGUGCGCAGGCGGUUGAGUAAGACAGAUGUGAAAUCCCCGAGCUUAACUCGGGAAUGGCAUAUGUGACUGCUCGACUAGAGUGUGUCAGAGGGAGGUGGAAUUCCACGUGUAGCAGUGAAAUGCGUAGAUAUGUGGAAGAACACCGAUGGCGAAGGCAGCCUCCUGGGACAUAACUGACGCUCAGGCACGAAAGCGUGGGGAGCAAACAGGAUUAGAUACCCUGGUAGUCCACGCCCUAAACGAUGUUAACUAGUUGUUGGGAAGUAAAAUUCUCAGUAACGCAGCCAACGCGAGAAGUUAACCGCCUGGGAAGUACGGUCGCAAGACUAAAACUCAAAGGAAUUGACGGGGACCCGCACAA
RNAcentral lists this ribosomal RNA (931 nucleotides) under human gut metagenome. RNAcentral describes it as "bacterial SSU rRNA". It matches the Rfam family "Bacterial small subunit ribosomal RNA", at positions 8 to 928 of the family's 1533-position model. The record is from RNAcentral.